ACACAUGCAGUCGAGGGGUAGAGGAAGCUUGCUUCCUUGAGACCGGCGCACGGGUGCGUAACGCGUAUGCAAUCUGCCUUGUACUGAGGGAUAGCCCAGAGAAAUUUGGAUUAAUACCUCAUAGCAUUAUGAAAUCGCAUGGUUUUAUAAUUAAAGUUCCAACGGUACAAGAUGAGCAUGCGUCCCAUUAGUUAGUUGGUAAGGUAACGGCUUACCAAGACGAUGAUGGGUAGGGGUCCUGAGAGGGAGAUCCCCCACACUGGUACUGAGACACGGACCAGACUCCUACGGGAGGCAGCAGUGAGGAAUAUUGGUCAAUGGACGCAAGUCUGAACCAGCCAUGCCGCGUGCAGGAUGAAGCAUCUAUGGUGUGUAAACUGCUUUUGUACGGGAAGAAACACUCCUACGUGUAGGAGCUUGACGGUACCGUAAGAAUAAGGAUCGGCUAACUCCGUGCCAGCAGCCGCGGUAAUACGGAGGAUCCAAGCGUUAUCCGGAAUCAUUGGGUUUAAAGGGUCCGUAGGCGGCUUUAUAAGUCAGUGGUGAAAGCCCAUCGCUUAACGAUGGAACGGCCAUUGAUACUGUAGAGCUUGAAUUACUUGGAAGUAACUAGAAUAUGUAGUGUAGCGGUGAAAUGCUUAGAUAUUACAUGGAAUACCAAUUGCGAAGGCAGGUUACUACAAGUGGAUUGACGCUGAUGGACGAAAGCGUGGGGAGCGAACAGGAUUAGAUACCCUGGUAGUCCACGCCGUA
Molecule: ribosomal RNA, 753 nt
Filed under: bacterium 18_xplvp100
Lineage: Bacteria
Also listed under: 1 other name
Description: bacterial SSU rRNA
Rfam family: Bacterial small subunit ribosomal RNA
Source: RNAcentral